GAUGAAGAACGUAGUGAAAUGCGAUAAGUAAUGUGAAUUGCAGAAUUCAGUGAAUCAUCGAAUCUUUGAACGCACAUUGCGCCCGCCAGUAUUCUGGCGGCAUGCCUGUUCGAGCGUCAUUACAACCCUCAGGCCCCCGGGCCUGGCGUUGGGGAUCGGCGGAGCCCCCCGUGGGCACACGCCGUCCCCCAAAUACAGUGGCGGUCCCGCCGCAGCUUCCAUCGCGUAGUAGCUAACACCUCGCGACUGGAGAGCGGCGCGGCCACGCCGUAAAACACCCAACUCUUCUGAAGUUGACCUCGAAUCAGGUAGGAAUACCCGCUGAACUUAAGCAUAUCAAUAAGCGGAGGA
RNAcentral lists this unclassified non-coding RNA (351 nucleotides) under soil metagenome. RNAcentral's name for it is "partial contains 5.8S ribosomal RNA, internal transcribed spacer 2, and large subunit ribosomal RNA". The stretch from base 1 to 119 matches the Rfam family "5.8S ribosomal RNA", at positions 35 to 154 of the family's 154-position model. The record is from RNAcentral.